GACAGGGUUGAGAGCUUUACAGAGGAAGUGGACAGCAUGGAGGGAGGUGAGGAAAGGCCUGUAAAGAGGAGGAGACACUGGCUCUGGCGGAGUGCGGACUAUUGGAGGGUUAAGCGGAUGUGGCUAAGGCUGAGUCAUCUAGGAGUAAACAAGAGGCCUUCCUUUGGGAGGAGCCAAUCCAGGGUGUAGGGGGCCCAGAGUGACCAGGUGCACUAGGCAAAAAAUGCCAGGAGAGGGCCAGGAAGAGGCCUUGUUAGUAGCGACUCACUUCUGGGCAGGCAGGCCAGCCAGCUAGCCAGCCUACUGAGGCUUCCCAAGAGGGGCAGAGUGCUGGGAUCUGGGAAUCCAGGAAAGGAGGGAAUGGGGUGGGGCUAGAUGAAAAGGGAUAGGUGUCCAGGGAGAGCCUCUGGCUAUUCCUGGGACCAGGAAGUUUUCACUAGGAUACAUAGCACUUUUUACACACUCACCCCACCCAUCCCUGACUUUCUAUUCAUGGAGCAACCUCUCUCUACAAUCCCCCCAGAUCUUCGCAAAUACUGUGGACAAUGCCCGCAUCGUUCUGCAGAUUGACAAUGCCCGUCUUGCUGCUGAUGACUUUAGAGUCAAGUAUGAGACAGAGCUGGCCAUGCGCCAGUCUGUGGAGAACGACAUCCACGGGCUCCGCAAGGUCAUUGAUGACACCAAUGUCACUCGACUGCAGCUGGAGACAGAGAUCGAGGCUCUCAAGGAGGAGCUGCUCUUUAUGAAGAAGAACCACGAAGAGGAAGUAAAAGGCCUUCAAGCCCAGAUUGCCAGCUCUGGGUUGACCGUGGAGGUAGAUGCCCCCAAAUCUCAGGACCUCGCCAAGAUCAUGGCAGACAUCCGGGCCCAAUAUGACGAGCUGGCUCGGAAGAACCGAGAGGAGCUAGACAAGUACUGGUCUCAGCAG
Molecule: small RNA, 928 nt
Filed under: Pongo abelii (Sumatran orangutan)
Lineage: Eukaryota; Metazoa; Chordata; Mammalia; Primates; Hominidae
Description: retained intron
Source: RNAcentral